Molecule: long non-coding RNA, 1418 nt
Organism: Procambarus clarkii (red swamp crayfish)
Lineage: Eukaryota; Metazoa; Arthropoda; Malacostraca; Decapoda; Cambaridae
Source: RefSeq, a predicted model, not a curated record
CGUGAUUGGCUAUUGAGUCCACCUGCUCGUUGAGGCGCAACGGAACGUUAUUUUGCCCCUAGAAUUAGCCGAGUAGAGGUGUACAACCGUCUUGAAGGAGCGAUGAUUGCAGUCAUACCCUGCCGAGGAGGUGGUGGUGGUAGAUGUUCCAGUUGUGCUACUUGAGUUAGCAAGGUCUGAUGGCCCUAUCCGGCAGAAGAUGAGCGUGUGGAGAGCUGCGGGGUGGGCGAAACAGCAAUGGUGAAGUAUCUAUUUGUGAAGAAAGGAGCAUUUGUGGAGGGCAACCAACGCCACACUGCAGAGUAAUGGAAGAGGCUGUGACCUGCAGUUUCGCAGGUGACACGCUUGAGUACCCUCGACGUGGAUGACGUUGGUACCAUCCUGUGUAGUUACUCUAGGGACACAACCUCCAGCUGUUGAAGGAUCAAGUUUGUGUUCCAUAGAAGAACCGACUACGGAAGGAGCACAAGGUACAGCAUUGGUGAAGAAGUAAAAUGGAUGGAGCCCGCGGGGAGAGUACUGCGCCCAUGAGGUCGACAGAGAUUCCUAGUUACAGCGGGCAGCCGCCGCGUUCGCCCUUCGGUGUGUUCAGCGGGAACCCCCAAAGUGAUAAGCCUGUAGAUAGGCAAGAAAUAAUCGCAUGAAUUGUAUAUAGUGUAAUGAAAUGAAUGCAAGUUUAAUAUAGUACGUAUAGAUGUAGUUAUUAAUUGUAAAUCAUUAUAAAUAAUGGAUAUAUUAUUAUUAUGGCGUAAAUCGUUAUCAAAUAAAUAGUUAAUAAUAUAUAAUAAAAUAAAUGUUAGCAUUAAAAAAAAAUAUAUAUGAAUAAUACCUUUGACAAAUGUUUGACUUGCACAAUAGUUACUGUGUGAGGAAAUCCCGUAUGUUACUGAAUGUGAGGGACAUGGCCAAGAUAGUUUUAAUAUUAAUCAUGGAAGAAAGUAUAGUGAGAAUAUUAUGUUUGAGCGUUAAUGUGUUAAAAUUUGUUGGGGUUGAUGUACAAUAAUAUACCUAGAUAGUACUAUAUUAACGUGAAAAUUGAAUGUUGUAUAUGUGAAGUUUUGGAGCUUGAAUGGGUAGAAAUACCCAAAGGUACUCGUGAGUUUAUAAUAUGAUUUAGUUCAGUUGUCUCCAAUAACAUAGUUGAAGUUUAAUACAUAAGGUUGUUUGUAGUGUCAACUUAUGAAUAAGUAUAGAAACUUCAAUAAUUAGUGUAGCACUUAAAAUUGAGUGAUAUCAUUAUGAUAGACAGUAUAGCUCGGAGCUACAAGAAAUGUUCCCAAAGAGUCUAACAUUUAUAUGGUGUGCUUACUAUAUUAAACAGGAUUCUUGUAUUGUGUAUUUGUAGGGCCGUUUGAGGUUCUGCAAGUAGAGUAUAAAUACCCUAAAGUACUGUAUCCCUUUGAGAUGUAUUUAUUAAU